Molecule: ribosomal RNA, 253 nt
Filed under: uncultured bacterium
Lineage: Bacteria
Description: partial 16S ribosomal RNA
Rfam family: Bacterial small subunit ribosomal RNA
Source: RNAcentral
UACGUAGGUGGCAAGCGUUGUCCGGAUUUACUGGGCGUAAAGAGCGUGUAGGCGGCCUGAAAGGUCAGCUGUGAAAACUCGAGGCUCAACCUCGAGACGUCGGUUGAAACCAUCUGGCUAGAGUCCGGAAGAGGAGUGUGGAAUUCCCGGUGUAGCGGUGAAAUGCGCAGAUAUCGGGAAGAACACCCGUGGCGAAGGCGGCACUCUGGGACGGUACUGACGCUGAGACGCGAAAGCGUGGGGAGCGAACAGG